AACACUGUUAACCUGCGGUACCUGCGGAGGGAUCAAUAUGAAAAGCGAUGGUGGGGAGAGUUUUGCUUACGCGAGGAUGCUCUCCCACCUCAAAACCAAUGUGAAGAGUUUCGGGGGGGUGGGUGGUGGGUGGGUCCAGGGGGAGACCCCCGAGACCGAGACCCGAGACCCAGGGGAAUCCCUCGGGAAAAGACAUUAACCAGAGAGUAUUUUCAGUUGUUAUUAAAAACCAAUGUACAU
RNAcentral lists this unclassified non-coding RNA (240 nucleotides) under soil metagenome. RNAcentral's name for it is "partial contains 5.8S ribosomal RNA, internal transcribed spacer 2, and large subunit ribosomal RNA". The record is from RNAcentral.